UUGUGGACUUCAAGCGUGUACUGAGAACAUACGCUAGCCCCAGGGUUGUGGCUCAAGGCCACUCAGGUUCUCAUGACGGCUAUGACGUCAUCUACUAUGACGACUUCAUUGGCAAUGCAGACAAAACAUAUGAAAAUCAAAGUGUGAACAACGCAGAGGACCGUAUAUACACGACCUCCAUGGCCCUGAACGCCCUACUGACCACCUGGACAACACAAGACCAGAACACGGAGAGGGUCAUCUGGGAUAAAGAUACACCCGCUGAUGUAAAGACUACAGUUGACAGAAUCGUCACCUGGUUGUAUUAUUUCGGUUUGUUUGCUGGGUUCGAACCGUGGAAUGCUUUUUUCUCCGGCUCCUACAAGGGAGUUA
Long non-coding RNA from Haliotis rubra (blacklip abalone), 372 nucleotides. RefSeq lists it as uncharacterized. The record is from RefSeq and is a predicted model, not a curated record. Lineage: Eukaryota; Metazoa; Mollusca; Gastropoda; Lepetellida; Haliotidae. The transcript is spliced from 3 exons.